This is an RNA transcript of Melanaphis sacchari, 1674 nucleotides long. It is a transcript of the gene named LIM/homeobox protein Lhx3, with no coding region annotated. The record is from RefSeq and is a predicted model, not a curated record. Lineage: Eukaryota; Metazoa; Arthropoda; Insecta; Hemiptera; Aphididae. The transcript has 8 exons.
CGCUUCGUCAGUCUUUACGAAUCCAUUGUACGCUACGUUAGCCGUCGUUGUCGUCGUUAUUAUUAUAACUAUUUGUCAUUCUGCCGGAACAAAAUUCGGUUUUCAACAGUCUUUAUUCUCUCUGAUUUUGUUCGUCAAAAUUAUUUCCACUGCCCGCCGCUGUACCUAUUAUAUACCCCGCCUAUAUUUCUACAGACUUCACGCGAUGUUCCGAUGACCCGUAGUAUGUUCGUCUUAACGGCCGAAAAUGUUAGAUUCGUCUUUGCACGUGAGCAAUGAAGAAUCGGACACGGCUGAUUGGCUGCCCAACUCGUUUUUAAGAUUCUUUCAACAGGAUUUGAAUAAUAUACCGGUGAAAAUCUUAGCUAGUAUACCAAAGUGUGGUGGUUGUCAAGAAUUAAUACUAGACAGAUUUAUAUUAAAAGUAUUGGAACGCACUUGGCACGCUCGCUGUUUAAAGUGUAACGAGUGUGGAGCUACAUUAGCCGACAAGUGUUUUGCUAGAAACGGAAUGCUGUUUUGUAAAGACGACUUCUUUAAAAGGUACGGGACAAAAUGUGCCGGUUGCGAUUUGGGAAUCCCGCCCACACAAAUAGUUCGGAGGGCUCAAGAUCUUGUCUACCACUUACAAUGUUUUGCUUGUGUCAUGUGUGGUCGUACAUUAAAUACUGGUGAUGAAUUUUAUUUAAUGGAAGAUCGGAAAUUAGUGUGCAAACCUGAUUACGAAGCCGCAAAAACUAAAGAGGGUGGAUGUCUGGACGGCGAUCAACCAAAUAAACGUCCAAGAACGACUAUUACGGCCAAACAGUUGGAAACAUUAAAAAUGGCAUACAACAAUAGUCCAAAACCAGCUAGACAUGUUAGAGAGCAGCUAAGUCAAGACACUGGGUUAGACAUGAGGGUAGUCCAAGUUUGGUUUCAAAACAGACGUGCAAAAGAAAAAAGGCUUAAAAAGGACGCUGGUAGAUCACGCUGGAGUCAAUAUUUCAGAACAAUGAAAGGUUCGAUUUCGCCUCGAAAUGACAAAGAUGAUCUUAAGGUUGAUCUUGAUUCGAACUUCAGUCAUUCUCAUGAUCUAGAAAGCAAUGACAGUUAUGGUACAAGCACAUUAACUAUAGAUCAAGAACACAGCUCUCCUUUACCUGGGAGUCAUCACCACAAGUUUUUACCUGGCAACUCUUCACCAUCGUCACAUCAAUACAUGUCAUCCCCCACUCAACACGUUACGACAUUUACAGCAGAUAAUGGUUACAUCACAGUAGGUCCUACACAUUCUGCGCCUUCAGAACUAAGUGACAACAGUAGCACACACGGUUUUGCAGAUUUCCCACCAAGUCCAGAUUCAUGGCUGGGAGAAACACCGCACAGAUAUUGAAAAUAUAUCAUCAUUAAUUAAAAUAAUGUAUUACGAAGUACAAAUCAAAAAUGUUCUUUUAACCUACCAAGGGCUAUAACAAACAUACUGACUAGGAGAACCAAGUUUUUAAAAUGUUUAAUAAUUAUUUUAUUUCUCGUGUUUGUGUGACAUGUGUAUCAUUAGUUCGCGCAACAGUUUUUAUGAUAUUUCAUUAGGUUUACGCCAAGAAUCGUGUUUAGAUGUAGAUAUUUUUUUCUUUUUGAUCUCGAAUUUAUAUUCAUUUAAAUGUUAUCUUUAAAUAAAUCAAAAUAAUUGUA